GACAGAGGGUGCAAACGUUGUUCGGAAUUACUGGGCGUAAAGCGAGUGUAGGCGGUUUGGUAAGUCGGAUGUGAAAGCCCCGGGCUCAACCCGGGAAGUGCACUCGAUACUGCCAAGCUAGAGUGUCAGAGGUUGGUGGAAUUCUCGGUGUAGAGGUGAAAUUCGUAGAUAUCGAGAGGAACACCGGUGGCGAAGGCGGCCAACUGGACGAACACUGACGCUGAGACUCGAAAGCGUGGGGAGCAAACAGG
RNAcentral lists this ribosomal RNA (251 nucleotides) under uncultured bacterium. RNAcentral's name for it is "partial 16S ribosomal RNA". It matches the Rfam family "Bacterial small subunit ribosomal RNA", at positions 524 to 776 of the family's 1533-position model. The record is from RNAcentral.